RNAcentral lists this ribosomal RNA (508 nucleotides) under uncultured bacterium. RNAcentral describes it as "bacterial SSU rRNA". It matches the Rfam family "Bacterial small subunit ribosomal RNA", at positions 28 to 526 of the family's 1533-position model. The record is from RNAcentral.
GACGAACGCUGGCGGCGUGCUUAACACAUGCAAGUCGAACGAAGCACUACUAGCUGAUCUCUUCGGAGUGAAGUAGGUAGUGACUGAGUGGCGGACGGGUGAGUAACGCGUGAGUAACCUGCCUUUCAGAGAGGGACAACAUUUGGAAACGAAUGCUAAUACCGCAUAACAUAUCUUUGUGGCAUCGCAGAGAUAUCAAAAGGAGUUAAAUCCGCUGAAAGAUGGACUCGCGUCCGAUUAGCUAGAUGGUGAGGUAACGGCUCACCAUGGCGACGAUCGGUAGCCGGACUGAGAGGUUGAUCGGCCACAUUGGGACUGAGACACGGCCCAGACUCCUACGGGAGGCAGCAGUGGGGAAUAUUGCACAAUGGGCGCAAGCCUGAUGCAGCAACGCCGCGUGAGGGAAGACGGUUUUCGGAUUGUAAACCUCUGUUCUUGGUGAAGAAACAAAUGACGGUAGCCAAGCAGCAAGCCACGGCUAACUACGUGCCAGCCGCCGCCGUAAUAC